CCUACGGGAGGCUGCAGUGGGGAAUAUUGCACAAUGGGCGCAAGCCUGAUGCAGCCAUGCCGCGUGUGUGAAGAAGGCCUUCGGGUUGUAAAGCACUUUCAGCGGGGAGGAAGGCGUUAAGGUUAAUAACCUUGGCGAUUGACGUUACCCGCAGAAGAAGCACCGGCUAACUCCGUGCCAGCAGCCGCGGUAAUACGGAGGGUGCAAGCGUUAAUCGGAAUUACUGGGCGUAAAGCGCACGCAGGCGGUCAGUCAAGUCGGAUGUGAAAUCCCCGGGCUCAACCUGGGAACUGCAUUCGAAGCUGGCAGGCUAGAGUCUUGUAGAGGGGGGUAGAAUUCCAGGUGUAGCGGUGAAAUGCGUAGAGAUCUGGAGGAAUACCGGUGGCGAAGGCGGCCCCCUGGACAAAGACUGACGCUCAGGUGCGAAAGCGUGGGGAGCAAACAGGAUUAGAUACCCCGGUAGUC
Molecule: ribosomal RNA, 465 nt
Filed under: uncultured Klebsiella sp.
Lineage: Bacteria; Pseudomonadati; Pseudomonadota; Gammaproteobacteria; Enterobacterales; Enterobacteriaceae
Description: bacterial SSU rRNA
Rfam family: Bacterial small subunit ribosomal RNA
Source: RNAcentral